CCUACGGGAGGCAGCAGUGAGGAAUAUUGGUCAAUGGACGAGAGUCUGAACCAGCCAAGUAGCGUGAAGGAUGACUGCCCUACGGGUUGUAAACUUCUUUUAUCAGGGAGUAAAACGAGGCACGUGUGCCUUUUUGCAUGUACUCUAUGAAUAAGGAUCGGCUAACUCCGUGCCAGCAGCCGCGGUAAUACGGAGGGAGCGAGCGUUAAUCGGAAUUACUGGGCGUAAAGCGCUCGUAGGCGGUAGGUCAAGUCAAGGGUGAAAUCCCCGCGCGCAACGUGGGAACUGCCUUUGAAACUGGCAAACUUGAGUGUGUGAGAGGUUCGUGGAAUUCCAGGUGUAGGAGUGAAAUGCGUAGAUAUCAGGAGGAACAUCAGUGGCGAAGGC
RNAcentral lists this ribosomal RNA (387 nucleotides) under uncultured bacterium. RNAcentral's name for it is "partial 16S ribosomal RNA". It matches the Rfam family "Bacterial small subunit ribosomal RNA", at positions 338 to 722 of the family's 1533-position model. The record is from RNAcentral.